This 442-nucleotide ribosomal RNA is filed under the name uncultured Prevotella sp. RNAcentral describes it as "bacterial SSU rRNA". It matches the Rfam family "Bacterial small subunit ribosomal RNA", at positions 355 to 794 of the family's 1533-position model. Lineage: Bacteria; Pseudomonadati; Bacteroidota; Bacteroidia; Bacteroidales; Prevotellaceae. The record is from RNAcentral.
UGAGGAAUAUUGGUCAAUGGGCGGGAGCCUGAACCAGCCAAGUCGCGUGAGGGAAGACGGUCCUACGGAUUGUAAACCUCUUUUGUCGGGGAGUAAUAGGCGGGACGUGUCCUGCUGUGAGAGUACCCGAAGAAAAAGCAUCGGCUAACUCCGUGCCAGCAGCCGCGGUAAUACGGAGGAUGCGAGCGUUAUCCGGAUUUAUUGGGUUUAAAGGGAGCGUAGGCCGGAGGGUAAGCGUGUUGUGAAAUGCAGUUACUCAACAUCUGCACUGCAGCGCGAACUGUUCUCCUUGAGUGCGCAGGAAGUAGGCGGAAUUCGUCGUGUAGCGGUGAAAUGCUUAGAUAUGACGAAGAACUCCGAUUGGGAAGCCAGCUUACUGUAGCGCCACUGACGCUGAUGCUCGAAAGUGCGGGUAUCGAACAGGAUUAGAUACCCUGGUAGU